CCUACGGGGGGCUGCAGUGAGGAAUAUUGCACAAUGGGGGGAACCCUGAUGCAGCAACGCCGCGUGAGCGAUGAAGGCCUUCGGGUCGUAAAGCUCUUUUCUGUGGGAUGAGAAAAGGACAGUACCACAGGAAUAAGUCUCGGCUAACUACGUGCCAGCAGCCGCGGUAAAACGUAGGAGGCGAGCGUUAUCCGGAUUCACUGGGCGUAAAGGGCAAGUAGGCGGUAGGCAAAGUUGGGCGUGACAAAUCUCGGCUUAACUGAGAGGGGUCGUUCAAAACUAGUCUACUGGAGGGCAGGAGAGGAAGGCGGAAUUCCGAGUGUAGCGGUGGAAUGCUCAGAUAUUCGGAAGAACACCAGUGGCGAAGGCGGCCUUCUGGCCUGCACCUGACGCUGAGAGGCGAAAGCUAGGGGAGCGAACGGGCUUAGAUACCCCUGUAGUC
This 442-nucleotide ribosomal RNA is filed under the name uncultured bacterium. RNAcentral's name for it is "bacterial SSU rRNA". It matches the Rfam family "Bacterial small subunit ribosomal RNA", at positions 338 to 795 of the family's 1533-position model. The record is from RNAcentral.